This is a long non-coding RNA of Saccostrea cuccullata (small rock oyster), 529 nucleotides long. RefSeq lists it as uncharacterized. The transcript is spliced from 2 exons. NCBI's taxonomy places the organism in Eukaryota, Metazoa, Mollusca, Bivalvia, Ostreida, Ostreidae. The record is from RefSeq and is a predicted model, not a curated record.
UCCAAAAUCGAUGCUAAAUUGGUGAUAUCUUUAUUCGGGGUGUUAUAUUGAUUGAGUUUAUAACUCGGUGAUGGAGUGGUUGAGGAAGCUGGUGGCGUGGAUCAAAUACUGGUAUUUCCAGUGGGAGGUGGCCAGCAUGCUGGUUGUCAUGGAUCCCAUAGAAAGGUACUUCUUCCAUGCAUUUACAGUAAUAUUAUUCGCCGUGGUGCUAUAUUCUACGGUAUCCAUAGUAACGGGGCUCUUGGAACUCUCUGGUCUUUCCCCGUCAUUCCAGCAAAUAAUGACGUCAUGGGAAAAUGUCAACUAACAACGUCAUGAAGAAAGAGUCUAAGGUUUUGGAUAAAACAGUCAAUCAUCGAGAUCUAAAUAGAAGUCCUCGUCACCGGUACAGGAAACAUUAUAAGAAGAACUUUUGGGCGACUCGGAUGACUUUAUACAAACUUUGAUUUUCAGAAAUGGAAUAUUUUUCUGCUUGUCACAAUGUUUUUAUAUGUUUGAAUUCUGCAGCAAAAGAACAGAUGUAAAUUGA